AUCUUGAAUAUUAUUAUAGAUAGAGAUAAAUUGUAAACAGCAAUAAUGUUCAGCAAAGUAAGAUCUACAAAUAAGUCAACAUGACCAAAAUGGUCAGUUGACCCCUUUAGGAGUUAUUGCCCUUUAUAGUCAAUCUUUAACCAUUUUUCAUAAAUCUAAGUAAUCUUUUACAAAAUCUCCACUGAAACUACUAGGCCACAAUCAUCUUUGGGGUAUCUAGUUUGAAAAAUGUGUCCGAUGACCUGGC
RNAcentral lists this long non-coding RNA (247 nucleotides) under Mytilus galloprovincialis (Mediterranean mussel). The record is from RNAcentral. Lineage: Eukaryota; Metazoa; Mollusca; Bivalvia; Mytilida; Mytilidae.